RNAcentral lists this ribosomal RNA (497 nucleotides) under uncultured bacterium. Its description in RNAcentral is "partial 16S ribosomal RNA". It matches the Rfam family "Bacterial small subunit ribosomal RNA", at positions 28 to 507 of the family's 1533-position model. The record is from RNAcentral.
GAUGAACGCUGGCGGCGUGCCUAAUACAUGCAAGUCGAGCGAACAGACGAGGAGCUUGCUCCGCGGACGUUAGCGGCGGACGGGUGAGUAACACGUGGAUAACCUACCUAUAAGACUGGUAUCACUUCGGGAAACCGGAUCUAAUACCGUAGAAUCUAUUGAACCACGUGGUUCAAUAGUGAGAUUCGGUUUUUCUGGCACGUAUAGAGGGAUCCGCGCCGCAUUAGGUGGUUGGGAAGUUAACGGGUUAUCAAGGCAAGGAUGCGUAACCGAAGUGAGAGGGUGAUCGGCGACACGGGAACUGAGACAGGGUCAAGACUCCUACGGGAGGGAGCAGAAGGGAACGUGCCGCAAUGGGCGAAAGCUUGACGGAGCGACGGCGAGUGAGUGAUGAAGGUCUUCGGAUCGUAAAACUCUGUUAUUAGGGAAGAACAAAUGUGUAAGUAACUAUGCACGUAUUGACGGUAACUAAUCAGAAAGCCACGGCUAACUACGUG